This 130-nucleotide ribosomal RNA is filed under the name Krameria spartioides. Its description in RNAcentral is "partial 5.8S ribosomal RNA". It matches the Rfam family "5.8S ribosomal RNA", at positions 30 to 154 of the family's 154-position model. From Rfam's summary of the family: 5.8S ribosomal RNA (5.8S rRNA) is a component of the large subunit of the eukaryotic ribosome. It is transcribed by RNA polymerase I as part of the 45S precursor that also contains 18S and 28S rRNA. Functionally, it is thought that 5.8S rRNA may be involved in ribosome translocation. The record is from RNAcentral. Lineage: Eukaryota; Viridiplantae; Streptophyta; Magnoliopsida; Zygophyllales; Krameriaceae.
GCAUCGAUGAAGAACGCAGCGAMAUGCGAUACUUGGUGUGAAUUGCAGAAUCCCGUGCACCAUCGAGUCUUUGAACGCAAGUUGCGCCUGAAGCCGUUAGGUUGAGGGCACGUCUGCCUGGGUGUCACAC